GACUGUUGGCGAGGAAUGCUCUGCCUUCACACGGCAGGGGUCGCUGGUUCAAAUCCAGCCGCACCCGCCA
This 70-nucleotide transfer RNA is filed under the name Gammaproteobacteria bacterium. RNAcentral's name for it is "tRNA-Val". Lineage: Bacteria; Pseudomonadati; Pseudomonadota; Gammaproteobacteria. The record is from RNAcentral.